Molecule: ribosomal RNA, 615 nt
Filed under: Triticum aestivum (bread wheat)
Lineage: Eukaryota; Viridiplantae; Streptophyta; Magnoliopsida; Poales; Poaceae
Description: partial small subunit ribosomal RNA
Source: RNAcentral
AUGCAGGUUAUAGCGGGAAGAGGAGUAGGGGGAGCGGCCACGGGCGACUCACCGGCGAGGACGUCGUCGUCGUACCUGACGGCGGCGCGUCAGAUCGCGGUGACCGUGGUGCUGUACGACGUGUACCGCUACGCGUGGCACCGCCUGGCGCACCGCAGCCGGUUCCUGUACCGGCACCUCCACUCGUGGCACCACCGCCUGGUCGUGCCCUACGCGUUCGGCGCCAAAUACGGGCACCCGGUGGAGGCCCUCAUCGCCGACACGGCCGGCGCGUCGCUCGCCAUCUUCGCCUCCGGCAUGUCGUCGUCGCCGCGCGCCACGGCCGUCUUCCUCUCGCUGUGCAACAUCAAGGGCAUCGACAACCACUGCGGGCUGUGCCUCCUGCCGCGCGCCCUGCAGUCGCUCUGGAACGGCGCCGCGUACCACGGCGUGCACCACCUGCCGCGCGGCGUCAGGUACAACUUCUCCGACCUCUUCUUCGUCACGUGGGACAAGGCGUUCGGGACGUACCUGCACUACACCGUCGAGGAGAGGCCCGGCGGCGGGGGGCUGGUGAUCCAGCCGGUGCGGCCCAAGGCGUCCAAGGCCUCCGCCGCUGUCACGCCAGUGAACUGA